This 467-nucleotide ribosomal RNA is filed under the name uncultured bacterium. RNAcentral's name for it is "partial 16S ribosomal RNA". It matches the Rfam family "Bacterial small subunit ribosomal RNA", at positions 28 to 507 of the family's 1533-position model. The record is from RNAcentral.
GAUGAACGCUGGCGGCGUGCUUAACACAUGCAAGUCGAACGGUGAAGCAGAGCUUGCUCUGUGGAUCAGUGGCGAACGGGUGAGUAACACGUGAGCAACCUGCCCCUGACUCUGGGAUAAGCCUUGGAAACGGGGUCUAUAACUGGAUAUGAGCUGCGACCGCAUGUUAAGCAGUUGGAAAAAUUUUUCGGUCUGGGAUGGGCUCAGGGCCUAUCAGCUUGUUGGUGAGGUAAUGGCUCACCAAGGCGUCGACGGGUAGCCGGCCUGAGAGGGUGACCGGCCACACUGGGACUGAGACACGGCCCAGACUCCUACGGGAGGCAGCAGUGGGGAAUAUUGCACAAUGGGCGAAAGCCUGAUGCAGCAACGCCGCGUGAGGGAUGACGGCCUUCGGGUUGUAAACCUCUUUUAGCAGGGAAGAAGCGAAAGUGACGGUACCUGCAGAAAAAGCGCCGGCUAACUACGUG